AUCUAGCUGACGAAUCCAAAAUAGGACGAAAUGCGCGUUAUCCUGGUGGAU
Non-coding RNA from Trichobilharzia regenti, 51 nucleotides. The record is from Rfam. Lineage: Eukaryota; Metazoa; Platyhelminthes; Trematoda; Strigeidida; Schistosomatidae.